This 253-nucleotide ribosomal RNA is filed under the name uncultured bacterium. Its description in RNAcentral is "partial 16S ribosomal RNA". It matches the Rfam family "Bacterial small subunit ribosomal RNA", at positions 524 to 776 of the family's 1533-position model. The record is from RNAcentral.
UACGUAGGGUGCAAGCGUUGUCCGGAAUUAUUGGGCGUAAAGAGCUCGUAGGCGGUUUGUCGCGUCUGCUGUGAAAACCCGAGGCUCAACCUCGGGCCUGCAGUGGGUACGGGCAGACUAGAGUGCGGUAGGGGAGAUUGGAAUUCCUGGUGUAGCGGUGGAAUGCGCAGAUAUCAGGAGGAACACCGGUGGCGAAGGCGGUUCUCUGGGCCUGUACUGACGCUGAGGAACGAAAGCGUGGGGAGCGAACAGG